RNAcentral lists this long non-coding RNA (556 nucleotides) under Homo sapiens (human). RNAcentral's name for it is "non-protein coding LIPE-AS1:4". The record is from RNAcentral. Lineage: Eukaryota; Metazoa; Chordata; Mammalia; Primates; Hominidae.
CACUCCGCAGAGGCCCGAGCGGGCUCGCGAGGGAACGGGUUCUCCGAGUCUGGCCGGCCACAACAACUGGAUUCUCUUUUCUGAUUUUUGCUGCAGCUUCUGCUUUGUAAUCAUACGGACAGUUGUGCUUGUCAGAGUUAACGGUGAAGUCCACAAAACAAAUUUCCACAUCGGCAGUCAAACCUGUAAGACCAACUUUCUUUCUGCACAUGAAACAUCUGUUUUUCUUUGGUUUGGGCAAUUCAGGAGCUUUUUCUUUACUCUGAGAAGUACUGGGCUGAAAAACUGAUGGGCUGGGCUGAGUGACAACUGGCUCUCACACCUCUGUUUUCGGGGUAGUUAUUUUGUCCUCUGUUGAAAUGCUCAUUUCUGUCAUUUGCUGAGUUACAGGCAAGGCAGCCGCAGGCACAUUUCUUGAUUUUUCAGAUGUGCUGCCAGCAGCACCUUCACAGUUGUUUAAGCUAGUGUCUGCUCUCUGUACAGAUGCAGAAUCUGAGGUAGGACUGUUGGAACCACUAGCUGUCCCCAUUGGGCUCAUUCUGCCACUAUUCUGCUG